RNAcentral lists this ribosomal RNA (497 nucleotides) under uncultured bacterium. RNAcentral's name for it is "partial 16S ribosomal RNA". It matches the Rfam family "Bacterial small subunit ribosomal RNA", at positions 28 to 507 of the family's 1533-position model. The record is from RNAcentral.
GAUGAACGCUGGCGGCGUGCCUAAUACAUGCAAGUCGAGCGAACGGACGAGAAGCUUGCUUUUCUGAUGUUAGCGGCGGACGGGUGAGUAACACGUGGAUAACCUACCUAUAAGACUGGGAUAACUUCGGGAAACCGGAGCUAAUACCGGAUAAUAUUUUGAACCGCAUGGUUCAAAAGUGAAAGACGGUCUUGCUGUCACUUAUAGAGGGAUCCGCGCUGCAUUAGCUAGUUGGUAAGGUAACGGCUUACCAAGGCAACGAUGCAUAGCCGACCUGAGAGGGUGAUCGGCCACACUGGAACUGAGACACGGUCCAGACUCCUACGGGAGGCAGCAGUAGGGAAUCUUCCGCAAUGGGCGAAAGCCUGACGGAGCAACGCCGCGUGAGUGAUGAAGGUCUUCGGAUCGUAAAACUCUGUUAUUAGGGAAGAACAUAUGUGUAAGUAACUGUGCACAUCUUGACGGUACCUAAUCAGAAAGCCACGGCUAACUACGUG